GAGCGUGAAACAACUGUCAGAUAUCUUAGGCCUGCUUAUCUAGGUUAGAAAACUUAUUGUGAGGCCUAGUUUGCUUCAAAUCUCCCUGACUGAAAGUGCAACAAUGGACAUGAGACUUUUUCCACCUUGUUUAUCCUUAGAGUGUGAAGUUAGUAAUCAGUGGAAACAACAGAAUUGCAGAAAAGAGUAGAUCUGGAGGGGAGAACAUGCCCCAGCAUUGCAAGAAGCUGUUUCAGGAAGAGUGGAAACUACAUAGAGUAUAUCAUGCCUCAUCAAAUCUGCCAAGUUUAAUCUGCCAUUACAGAGAGAGAGCUGGCUAAGGGUGCAGCUCUACCAUUAAGGAAGAAGCAAGAGCGGAAGAAGCAGCAGGUGUCACAGAAUCUUUCUGCUCCUCAUUAAAACGUUGAAACCAGUGCAUGAAAAGGACACCACCUGGUUAGACAACUGUCAAUAUUGAUGCCAUCAAAACUGGACGUCACUGUCAGCUCACUGUCAGAGAGAAUUUGGAGAACUAAGGGAGGCCACUUGAUGGAAUGUGUUUAGUUCAAAGUUCUGAACAUGGAAGCAGAUGCUUGCCUCUGGAGAUAUCUCAUCCUGAUAGUAAAGGGUCAUGCAGAUAAAUAUUAUGUGAGUACAUUAUUUUCAUACAAAGAAAAAGUCUCAUAUGUGGAACACAAAACAAAAGACCCAGGGACAACUCCAAAGCUGAAUACAGAAGUUGCCAGGAGUCCAGGUGCUGCUGCUGGAAUUAUUUUUCCUGCCUUGGCUUCUGAGACUACAAUGACAGAACAUUCCCUAUAUGUGACUAUGCAUGGUGACCCCCACUGGUGAAAAACAUGGAGAAGAAGUGGAGUGCUUUGAUCAUUUUAUUAAAAAGAGAAAAACAUCUUUCUUUAAUCUGAAGAUUGAAACGAUACCUCAGGGGCAGUGGGGCUUACUUGGUAUUUUGUAGAAGCAGAACACUCAAAGGAAAUCAUUUUGACUACAAUGAUCUCGCUCUCUGAUCACAUUUAUAGUAAGUUGUUUUUCUGUGAAAUUCCUUAUUGGUCUGGUUCCUUGGCCAACUUCCAAAA
Mauremys reevesii (Reeves's turtle) is the source of this 1073-nucleotide long non-coding RNA. RefSeq lists it as uncharacterized. NCBI's taxonomy places the organism in Eukaryota, Metazoa, Chordata, Testudines, Geoemydidae. The record is from RefSeq and is a predicted model, not a curated record. The transcript has 5 exons.